This 73-nucleotide transfer RNA is filed under the name Ophiophagus hannah (king cobra). It matches the Rfam family "tRNA". Rfam says of the family: Transfer RNA (tRNA) molecules are approximately 80 nucleotides in length. Their secondary structure includes four short double-helical elements and three loops (D, anti-codon, and T loops). Lineage: Eukaryota; Metazoa; Chordata; Lepidosauria; Squamata; Elapidae. The record is from Rfam by way of RNAcentral.
GACAGAUUGGUCUAGUGAUUAAGGCACCGGGCUAGAACCCAGGAGGCUGUGAGUUCUAAUCCCACCUUAGCCA